GACGAACGCUGGCGGCGUGCUUAACACAUGCAAGUCGAACGCUGAAGGCCCAGCUUGCUGGGUUGGAUGAGUGGCGAACGGGUGAGUAACACGUGAGUAACCUGCCCCCUUCUUUGGGAUAACGGUCGGAAACGGCUGCUAAUACCGGGUAUUCACUGUCCUUCGCAUGGGGGGUGGUGGAAAGGUUUUUUCUGGUGGGGGAUGGGCUCGCGGCCUAUUUUAUUGUUGGUGGUUUGAGAGCUUGCUCGCACCUUAACUAGUACCCCGGCUGGAGGGGGGAACUGGGACAUUGCUUCUUAACCCCCUACCCUCAAUACUACCAUUGUUGCGGCUUGACAAUGAGGGAAAAAGGUUUACAACCCGAAGGCCUCCAUCCCUCGGGCGGCAUCACUGCAUCCGGUUUUCGCCCGUUGUGCCAUAUUGCCCACUGCUCCCCCCCGGUGGAGUGUAGGCUGGGGGGUAAAAAAAGAUGUGACCAGUCACCCGCCACGCCGGGGACAAGACAUAGGGUUGGAGGCCAUCAGCCAAUCAUGGGGGAGAAGGGUGUGAGCCGGUUUGUCAUAUCAUCCCUCCUCAUCCCCCGGGUGAAUGGGGGCAUGCGGGGGUCACCGGCUUGCUCAUUUCUGAAAGGGGGGACGGGAGCCCCGGGUGAGUUUUGAAUUGCCACACUCCAAGCAGAAUGCAGUUGCAAAGUGUGUUGUUUGUGUCUUUGACUACCCCCACGAGCGAAAACGGGGGGAGAG
RNAcentral lists this ribosomal RNA (743 nucleotides) under uncultured Porphyromonas sp. Its description in RNAcentral is "partial 16S ribosomal RNA". The stretch from base 12 to 394 matches the Rfam family "Bacterial small subunit ribosomal RNA", at positions 39 to 400 of the family's 1533-position model. The record is from RNAcentral. Lineage: Bacteria; Pseudomonadati; Bacteroidota; Bacteroidia; Bacteroidales; Porphyromonadaceae.